UCUCUUGUUCACUCAUCACCCUCUGUUCAAGGUCAUAUGACGUGACGUGUCAAUGCAUAUGUUUAAUUCUCGUCUUCUCAACCCUAAAUUCCAAGCUCUCAUUCAUGUUUUGUGUUUCCACUAUUUUAGAUUUCCAGCCACUUCCACCACCACCCACCUCUGGCGGUGAUUACGAUUACGAGCCUCACCUAUCGCCACCGGCGCUUCCGCCUGUGCCUGCUGCUGCUGGUGAUAGCGAUCCUCUCUCCGGCGAGUCCGUUCCCACGUCGCCGGCGGUGAUUGGGAAGCGGCAUCAUGGAUCUCCAGAAGCUCCGGUGAAGGACAACGGCGGCGUGUGGUGGUGUUCGGUGAGGGAGGAAGUGGAGGAGUGUAGAUUCUUUGUGAGUGUGAUUAACCAACUAACGGGCUACUCAUGGAAAUGUGUCCAAAGAGAAAAAGCCCAAGAGUGCAUGGUUUCGAUUCAGAAAGGAGAAGCAGAUUUGGUGAACUUAGAAGCAGGGCUUGCUUAUACUGCAUUCAUCAACCACUCAAUGAAAGCCAUAGCCAGUGAGAUGUACUGUGACCAUUCAAAAACCUAUGAAGCAGUUGCAGUGGUAAACAGAAGGGCAUGUGAGAGCAAAGAAAAGAUCAGUUUAAUGGAUUUCAAAGACCACAAGUCUUGUCAUGGAGGUUACUCCACAGCAGUUGGAUGGAACUACCCCAUCAAUUACAUUAAAAAUUUAAUUAACAGUGCAGAACAAGAUGGCAGGAAAAUUGCAACUAAUUUUUUCUCUGCUAUCUGUGCUCCAUCAGAGGUUGAAGGUCUUGAUAUAUGCAGUGCAUGCAGCAAAGAGAAUGAAACCUGCUCUGAAAGGGGUAAAUACUCUGGUCAUUCAGGAGCUUUUAGGUGCCUAGUAGAGGAAUUGGGAGACAUUGCUUUUGUCAAGAGUGAUACUGUAUUGCUC
Molecule: small RNA, 944 nt
Filed under: Vigna angularis var. angularis
Lineage: Eukaryota; Viridiplantae; Streptophyta; Magnoliopsida; Fabales; Fabaceae
Description: Non-protein coding transcript
Source: RNAcentral